Molecule: ribosomal RNA, 347 nt
Filed under: uncultured bacterium
Lineage: Bacteria
Description: bacterial SSU rRNA
Rfam family: Bacterial small subunit ribosomal RNA
Source: RNAcentral
AAUCAACGCUGGCGGCGUGCCUCAGACAUGCAAGUCGAACGCGAAAGUCCCCUUCGGGGGACAAGUAGAGUGGCGCACGGGUGAGUAACACGUAGGUAAUCUACCUUCGGAUGGGGAAUAACAAUCGGAAACGGUUGCUAAUACCGCAUAAUGCAGCGGCACCUAAUGGUGACAGUUGUUAAAGCGGGGGAUCGAAAGACCUCGCGUCUGAAGAGGAGCCUGCGGCGGAUAGCUAGUUGGUAAGGUAACGGCUUACCAAGGCGACGAUCCGUAGCCGGCCUGAGAGGGCGGUCGGCCACACUGACACUGACAUACGGGUCAGACUCCUACGGGAGGCAGCAGUCGGG